UACGGAGGGGGCAAGCGUUGUUCGGCAUUACUGGGCGUAAAGGGCGCGUCGGCGGACCUUCAAGUCAGGGGUGAAAGGCCUGGGCUCAACCUGGGAACUGCCUUUGAAACUGGAGGUCUUGAGUCCGGGAGAGGAUGGCGGAAUUCCCAGUGUAGAGGUGAAAUUCGUAGAUAUUGGGAAGAACACCGGUGGCGAUGGCGGCCAUCUGGUCCGGCACUGACGCUGAGGCGCGAAAGCGUGGGGAGCAAACAGG
This 253-nucleotide ribosomal RNA is filed under the name uncultured bacterium. RNAcentral's name for it is "partial 16S ribosomal RNA". It matches the Rfam family "Bacterial small subunit ribosomal RNA", at positions 524 to 776 of the family's 1533-position model. The record is from RNAcentral.